This is a long non-coding RNA of Triticum aestivum (bread wheat), 848 nucleotides long. RefSeq lists it as uncharacterized. The record is from RefSeq and is a predicted model, not a curated record. NCBI's taxonomy places the organism in Eukaryota, Viridiplantae, Streptophyta, Magnoliopsida, Poales, Poaceae. The transcript is spliced from 3 exons.
GUCAAUGGUGCGAUGGAAUCCCUCCUUAAUAGUUGGCUGCCCCGUCUCCCAUUCCCCAUCCCUCCCCAAACGUCACAAAUGCCACCCUUAAAGGACGCGGCAGAACUCAACCUCAUCUAGGGUUUGUGGCCGCUGGCGAGGUUGGAAGCGGUGGCUACCGCGGCGAUGGAUGGGAAAGGGAAGGAUCUGGAGGAUGGGUGGAACUUCAUGUAGAAGGGCAUCAAAAAGCUCAUCAACAUAUCAAGGGCAAGCGGGAAUCGCAGUUCAUCUUCGAGUACUACGUGAUGUUCUAUACGUCAUCAAGCGUGUGCCUUCCUGAUCCCCAAACAAGUGUUCGCUCGCUGGUGACUUUUCUAAUCUGCAAAACUGUUUUUCUUCCCUGCUUGCUGUACAUGGGUGGCACUUCGACAGGGGCACCAACCAUACAUUAAUUUACUUCCAUUUUUAUGUUUAAAAGAAUUUAGAAAACGGAUGCCUUUGGACAUUUUUAUUUGAAAUUGCUGAUUCAAGCUUCGUAGAUUGGCUGAUGAUGGGUGGCGAGAUGUCUUCUAUCUACAAAAUUUUGAAGACUUGGGAAGCCAUCUAAUAUUUCUGGCAGCAUUUAGACUGAACUGGAGGAGAACAAAUUUGAUACACAAAGCAAUUUUGGUCACGCGAGGGCUUGAGGUCACACGUGUGUCACUCGAGUGUGCAAGCUGUUGACUGCAUUUCAGCAAGACCAUUUAAUGACAUGCAUGUGCAAAAUAUCAAUAAAUGAAACCUACCCAUUCUAUUUAUUGUAAAUGUGUUCUAGAUUGUAACAUCCUUCUAUGGAGAUCUAAAUGGUCAAGGCGAUCGGAUUUAAACCA